Molecule: long non-coding RNA, 2167 nt
Organism: Xiphophorus maculatus (southern platyfish)
Lineage: Eukaryota; Metazoa; Chordata; Actinopteri; Cyprinodontiformes; Poeciliidae
Exons: 4
Source: RefSeq, a predicted model, not a curated record
UUGCUACACUAUAACUACUGCUUACUCAACAUCCAGCCACAUAAAGUGGCCUAUUGUUUUUGAUGAGUCAGCGAGACUAUCCCACAGUUCGGACGAGGAAUGAAACUGGUGUUAAAGCGGCUCUGACUUGAACAGGUGUUCACUUUCAAAAAAAAUAAAAAAUAAAAAAAACCGUCGGAUGGCUGACCCGUUUGUUCCAGUCCAUUUAGCUGUCAACUGGUUCAUAGUGAAUAGCUCCAGUUUGAACAGAGGGGCUUCUACGCUCACCGUAGAUGAGGCCUGCAGGAGACCCAGAGGAGAGCAGAGUGACAGGCCAGGGAACACCGAGGAAGAGGAGACACCCAUCAGCGCAACUCUGCUGGGCUAUGAGAUUCUGAGGGAGAGGGAAAAGUUCACGGUUUAUAAGUUUCUUAUAAAGAGGCCUGAAGGAGGCAGCUGGCUGAUCUUCAGAAGAUACGCAGACUUCUGCAUACUCAGCGAUCAGGUGGGAGUUAUUUACACACACCGACCGCACAAUUCCAUCAAGGCUGACCUCGUACGAAGGUCACGACCUGACAGGGCGUGAAGCCAAGAACAACACGAAGGAGGAGGUUUAGUUUCUCUACAGGUUAGGAAUCUGUUAAGAGCAGGUACAGUGCUGUGAAAAACGUUCCCUCACCCCAAAGAUAUUAGCACAAGGUACGAUCCCUUCCUGCAGACGGCACCCUGAGUCGUCUUUGUUCAACUAUUGAAGAGAUCUCUGGUUUCUCAGCGAACCUGUGAGAUAUUUUCUGUCUGUGGACGACCCAUCGAGUCCCUUUUACAGUACGGAGGAAAGCAGGGUGAGGUUAGUUUUUCAAACGGGUUGAAUACUGACUUCCUGAUUCAGUUCAAACGCUGUUUGUCUGCCGAGCAGGCAUUUUGUGAAACUCUGGAGCAAAAGAAUCAUCUUCUCCUCAGAGAACUCCUGGAAAAACAGAGAGAAGUUGACUCGUUAACCAAGUCUUUAGAGGAUAAAGAGAACUACAUCGACCUGCUGUGGAGGAAAGGCAGGGCUUUGAACGUUCCAGAUUUGGAAUUCCAUCCACACAAAAAGGAAGACACAAAUGUGAACGAACUGAUGCAAAAUCUGAGAAUUCUCAGAAUGACAAAGGGAGCCAAGGAAGAAUUAAAUCAAGACACAAGCUGGAACUAGAAGCUUUUUAUCUUGAAUCAUCAGUAAAGAAAAAAAUUAACUAGUUAUAUAAGAAAAUGUAUUGAAAUAGUCUUUUUUGUGUUAGUGUUCUUGAUGUGCUGAAACGUAAAUGUUUUUUGUUUUUUUGUUUUUUUCAUUUUCUGUACCACUGAUGAACAAUACAGUCAGGGCGCAGCAGCAGUAAUGUGUGAUUUACCUGGGAUUUUUUUUUUAAAAAGUGAGGUUCUGUGCAAAGAUUGUGAACAGUAAAUAUAUUACUUGCAGUAGGUCAAGUCUUCAAAGAUGAAAACUUCACAAUUUUAUUCACCUUUACAUAUUUUAAAAGGACUUGGAUUUCAGAGUGGAUGAUUUAGUUUCGGAAUUCGAUUAUGCCACUAGGAGUAAGUGUGUUGCAUGCACAUCAGUAGGAGAGGAAGUAAAGAUGUUUGUUAACUGACUGCAAUCGUUUUAUAUCCAAAAACGGUUUCAGUGUAACUGUUUUGAAGACUGAAUAUUAGUGUCUUAAUCCAUCAGCUGAAAUCAGCAGAGGUGACAUGUAGGAAAUGACCACAAGGUGGUGCUGUACAUCCAAGAGUGAAGCUACUGAACCCAGAGGCAUGUUGGUGAUUCUUAAAAGCCUAAGCAGGACAAUAAGCAGAAGUUUUGUUGUUCACACUUUCGAAGCAAUAUAACAUUUGCACAUUUAUGUCUGAAAGGAGAGCUGAUUCAUUCUAGUCCUGUUGUAGGACUGAAUGGCCUUUUCAUGCCUCUUCACUAGAAAUAUAUCCAAAUACAAAAUAAAUCUCUGAAAAGGCUUUUAGCUGCCAUCCAUGACAUUAAAAAUGCCUGCUAGCUUUUAAGAAAGGACUCAUGUGUGGGAGUCUAAAAUAACAGGUGAAAACAUUGACUAUCAGGAUUUGAGCCAUACCUAAAAUCAAUAAAUUAGAAUAUGUUCACUGAUGUGGACUAUCUUUUGAAAAUAACUUUUAAUCAAAUGUUAAAGCUGCUUUUAAC